RNAcentral lists this ribosomal RNA (484 nucleotides) under uncultured bacterium. Its description in RNAcentral is "partial 16S ribosomal RNA". It matches the Rfam family "Bacterial small subunit ribosomal RNA", at positions 30 to 507 of the family's 1533-position model. The record is from RNAcentral.
AUUGAACGCUGGCGGCAUGCCUUACACAUGCAAGUCGAACGGCAGCGCGGGAGCAAUCCUGGCGGCGAGUGGCGAACGGGUGAGUAAUACAUCGGAACGUGCCCAAUCGUGGGGGAUAACGCAGCGAAAGCUGUGCUAAUACCGCAUACGAUCUACGGAUGAAAGCAGGGGAUCGCAAGACCUUGCGCGAAUGGAGGGGCCGAUGGCAGAUUAGGUAGUUGGUGAGGUAAAGGCUCACCAAGCCUUCGAUCUGUAGCUGGUCUGAGAGGACGACCAGCCACACUGGGACUGAGACACGGCCCAGACUCCUACGGGAGGCAGCAGUGGGGAAUUUUGGACAAUGGGCGAAAGCCUGAUCCAGCCAUGCCGCGUGCAGGAUGAAGGCCUUCGGGUUGUAAACUGCUUUUGUACGGAACGAAACGGUCUUUUCUAAUAAAGAAGGCUAAUGACGGUACCGUAAGAAUAAGCACCGGCUAACUACGUG